UAAACACAAAAAUAACGUAAAUAGCUCAAAAAUAUAAGGAACUAACUAAGAAAAGACGAGUGAAAUCGAAGUAAAAAUAUAUAUAAAUAUGAUCCGAUCAAAUACCCCCACACUUAACUUUUGCUAGUCCUCGAGCAAAACAAAGAAAACAAGAAUAAGAAGUAACAAGAAAAACAUUAGCUUCCCCUUAUGUGACCCUCAUAGAAUUUCAUUCGAGAACACAAAUCAACAAGAACCAUAGCUAGCACCAAACAAACUAAUCCAAGUUCAUCUUCCUUAUUCAAAUAUUAGCAGUAAUCUUUGAAUCAUCCUUGAAGUGUAGUGUGUAAGAUAGCCAUGCUAAUGCAAUUUCAAAAUUUUUAUAUUUUUAAAAUCAUCAUAUGCAAACUAGCAACCUUCUCACGGGAUAUACACUCAAUCACACAUGUGUUUAGUUUAAAUGUGUUUCGCUCAAAGAAUCAAAUGUGAAAGUUCUACCAUAAGCUUGCAUAAAGAUCACUUCUCCACAGUCAUAAUUGCAAAACUUAAAUCAAGAGGACUUUUAUUGGAUGUAAUGAGGUUUAGGGAGAGGGUUAUUGAAAUGAAAGAAUAGGUAAACACAAGUUCCAAGCUACAUUGCAAGCAAUUCUUUUGUUUAGAUUUAUAAGAACUCAAUCUUUCCAGCGAUUCUUCUAGCACCUCCAACCACACCCUUAAACUGAAACUUUAAAAACUUUUUAUUUCAUUUGUAUACAAUCUUUCUUUUUCUUUUUCUUUUCUUUUCUUUUUUUUUUUUUUAAAUACAAACAUGAAAUACCCCCACACUUAUUCUUUUGCCAAACACCUUCAAAGCACUUCACAAACGUUUCUCAUAAGACAAUCUCGCAUUGCUCGCUUGAAAAGGGUAAGGAAAAAUGUUUCAGGUAUAAGGGUAGACAUAUCUGGUGAUAAGAAAUAAAAGGCUCAACAUAUACGGCUCAAAUUGGCAAUCUAAUGAUAUCAUUUUUCUUUGGGAAACAUGGUUAUUUGGGCCAUGGUGGUAAACCUAAUGCCUCUAUCAUUUCCAAGUUCAUGCAAUCAAUGACAAACAUUUUGAAAGAUCGUUACGCAAGUUCUAGAGAUGUAUCUCACAUAAGUUCAUCACACAUGAAAGAAUAGGAGUGUAUGAAAAAAUGCACACACUUUUUUAUCGGCUCAAAAACUCACAUAGGAUGUAUAUGGUCACUAAAUUCACAUAUGAAGCUUUAAGUCAUACUUUAGUUUCACAUCAACAAGGCUAUGUGCAUUUGUUUUUUCAGAUGGUCAAACAUGUACAAAACUAACAAGAGAAUUAGGAAUUCACAAAACACAUGUUAACUAAGUUCUUGAUGAUCAUGGUUCAAAUUUGAUCCAAUUAUAUCAUUGGGUCGGGAAACUAACAAAAAUCUAAUUCAAAACAAUAAGGGAAACAAGACAAUAUUUUUGGAUUUUUAAAUUUUCCGAUUUUUUAAAUUUUUUUUUUUUAAAAGAAAACAAAACUAAUUAAGAAAACAAAAAGCAACAACAUGGAAACAAAUGAAACUCAUUCGUAGUUGAAGGUACAAAAAAAUUUCAAUUUGGUCAUUUUUAUACUCUUUACCCCCAAACUUAAACUGGACAUUGUCCCCAAUGUCAGA
RNAcentral lists this long non-coding RNA (1634 nucleotides) under Malus domestica (apple). Its description in RNAcentral is "long non-coding RNA (MDOM_LNC008629)". The record is from RNAcentral. Lineage: Eukaryota; Viridiplantae; Streptophyta; Magnoliopsida; Rosales; Rosaceae.